UGCAAGUCGAGCGAACAGAUGAGAAGCUUGCUUCUCUGAUGUUAGCGGCGGACGGGUGAGUAACACGUGGGUAACCUACCUAUAAGACUGGGAUAACUCCGGGAAACCGGGGCUAAUACCGGAUAAUAUUUUGAACCGCAUGGUUCAAUAGUGAAAGACGGUUUCGGCUGUCACUUAUAGAUGGACCCGCGCCGUAUUAGCUAGUUGGUAAGGUAACGGCUUACCAAGGCGACGAUACGUAGCCGACCUGAGAGGGUGAUCGGCCACACUGGAACUGAGACACGGUCCAGACUCCUACGGGAGGCAGCAGUAGGGAAUCUUCCGCAAUGGGCGAAAGCCUGACGGAGCAACGCCGCGUGAGUGAUGAAGGUCUUCGGAUCGUAAAACUCUGUUGUUAGGGAAGAACAAAUUUGUUAGUAACUGAACAAGUCUUGACGGUACCUAACCAGAAAGCCACGGCUAACUACGUGCCAGCAGCCGCGGUAAUACGUAGGUGGCAAGCGUUAUCCGGAAUUAUUGGGCGUAAAGCGCGCGUAGGCGGUUUCUUAAGUCUGAUGUGAAAGCCCACGGCUCAACCGUGGAGGGUCAUUGGAAACUGGGAAACUUGAGUGCAGAAGAGGAGAGUGGAAUUCCAUGUGUAGCGGUGAAAUGCGCAGAGAUAUGGAGGAACACCAGUGGCGAAGGCGGCUCUCUGGUCUGUAACUGACGCUGAUGUGCGAAAGCGUGGGGAUCAAACAGGAUUAGAUACCCUGGUAGUCCACGCCGUAAACGAUGAGUGCUAAGUGUUAGGGGGUUUCCGCCCCUUAGUGCUGCAGCUAACGCAUUAAGCACUCCGCCUGGGGAGUACGACCGCAAGGUUGAAACUCAAAGGAAUUGACGGGGACCCGCACAAGCGGUGGAGCAUGUGGUUUAAUUCGAAGCAACGCGAAGAACCUUACCAAAUCUUGACAUCCUUUGACCGCUCUAGAGAUAGAGUCUUCCCCUUCGGGGGACAAAGUGACAGGUGGUGCAUGGUUGUCGUCAGCUCGUGUCGUGAGAUGUUGGGUUAAGUCCCGCAACGAGCGCAACCCUUAAGCUUAGUUGCCAUCAUUAAGUUGGGCACUCUAGGUUGACUGCCGGUGACAAACCGGAGGAAGGUGGGGAUGACGUCAAAUCAUCAUGCCCCUUAUGAUUUGGGCUACACACGUGCUACAAUGGAUAAUACAAAGGGCAGCGAAUCCGCGAGGCCAAGCAAAUCCCAUAAAAUUAUUCUCAGUUCGGAUUGUAGUCUGCAACUCGACUACAUGAAGCUGGAAUCGCUAGUAAUCGUAGAUCAGCAUGCUACGGUGAAUACGUUCCCGGGUCUUGUACACACCGCCCGUCACACCACGAGAGUUUGUAACACCCGAAGCCGGUGGAGUAACCUUUUAGGAGCUAGCCC
Molecule: ribosomal RNA, 1420 nt
Filed under: bacterium
Lineage: Bacteria
Description: bacterial SSU rRNA
Rfam family: Bacterial small subunit ribosomal RNA
Source: RNAcentral